Molecule: long non-coding RNA, 1518 nt
Organism: Triticum aestivum (bread wheat)
Lineage: Eukaryota; Viridiplantae; Streptophyta; Magnoliopsida; Poales; Poaceae
Exons: 3
Source: RefSeq, a predicted model, not a curated record
UCUCUCUCUCUCUCUCUCUCUCUCUCGAACUCCCAGGUCUCUCCGCAUCUCCUCAUGAUGACCAGAUCCAUGUCUCUCAAAUUGGGGCAAGGAAUUUGGGCAUGGAUCCCUUUCUUAAUCACGUCUCUCUCUCUCAAACUCUCGGGUCUCUUCUCUCCUCACGUCAAAUUGCAGCAAGGACUCUUCUAUCCUUACCUCAAAUUGCAACAAGGACGUUGGGGCAUGGAUCCGCAAAAAAGCAAGGACGUUGGGGCAUGGAUCUCUUGCUCUCAAUGAGGUUAUCACGUUAAAAUUAUUUUCCUCAUGUGGAUCAGGUUCCUCUUCUCACAUUGAUUUUUUUGCUAGAUUGGAUUAAAAAAAAUCUAGGUAUUCAGUUUCAAAUAUAAUCUUCUCACAUAUGCUCCAUCACGGAGAUCGGCUUCGAGCAGAACUAAGCCCAUAAGGCUAGCUUAUAAAUUAAGCAUGUAGCCUAACAUAGACCAUCUCAAAUCAAGGUCGCUCUGUUCCUUGUCAGCAUCGUCAUUGGUCAAGCUUCUCCUGUUUGGUGCGACGGUUGCCUCUGUUUAGUUGCUUUUCACCCAGUUUUCUAACGAUUAUUUUUUCGUUGGUUCAAUCACAUUGUUAGGCUUUGCACUUCCUAUGUCAUACAAACUAAUCUUUCUCUCCAAUUAUAAAGUCUUUGAUUUGGCUGAGACUAUAACAAGUUCUAAUCUUCAAAAUUGUGUUCGCUUACAGGUCAAAUUCUUUUGUUUUCCAUUGAAACAAUGGCAUACGAUAUGCUCGAUGCGAUUAACAAUGGGAAGGAUUCCUGGAAAGUGAAGGUCAGAGUAAUUAGUCUAUGGGACGUCGUUAACCUCAAUAACAAUGAACUAAUUAGCCUUGACAUGACACUGCUUGAUGAACAGGCCAUUGAUCCAAGAAGGUUUAGUAUACAUGAUGGAGAAUUUUAAGGUUACACCUGCCAUGAAUUUCAAUACAGUCGAAGGCGACAAGAUUAUUAACUUCUUGCACACAACAAAAAUUCAAGAGAUUAAGGACUUAAAAAUAUCAGAAUAGCAUAACAAAGUUCCAUGUUUUGUAGUAUUGAAGUUCUUUCCACAAGAGAUGGCCAGAGGAUGUACUUUUCCGAUGUCAUUGGGGCAGGAAGUUAUAUAGGGAAUAUUGAAGAAAUGGAGACAACCCAUGGGAUUUCCAAGAUUCGAGAUAAUGUACUUCAAAUUGAGUAAGUACACUUAAAUAAAACGGUAGGAAUAAAAUAUCAUGGCUGCUCAUAGUCAUGUCUGUUGGAAUAUACAGGGAUCAAAAAGUUAAUAUUAGUCCGUGGUAAUAACACUAGUGUGCGUUGGUUCUAUACAAACGGUUUUUAACCCCUUUCCGCGACGGCAUUUGGGACCGUCGCCAAGUGAGUGUGGGCGAUAGGGUGUCCUUCCCACACGACCCAGAAACCGUCGGGGAUAUGGAGCAGUGAUCCAGAGGCCUUCCAAAAUGUAAUCGUGUGCAAUGCAGCACACACUAAAU